UAAUCUGUUUGAGAUAAAUUCUCAUUUAGUUGUGGUAUAUUUAUAUAUAACUAUUCAAAAUUACCCAUUAUUAUAUGAAUAAUAACUUUUUAAGAUUUUAAUUGAGGUC
Molecule: microRNA precursor, 109 nt
Filed under: Populus trichocarpa (black cottonwood)
Lineage: Eukaryota; Viridiplantae; Streptophyta; Magnoliopsida; Malpighiales; Salicaceae
Description: MIR480 microRNA precursor family
Rfam family: MIR480 microRNA precursor family
Source: Rfam by way of RNAcentral